Molecule: unclassified non-coding RNA, 82 nt
Filed under: Halpernia frigidisoli
Lineage: Bacteria; Pseudomonadati; Bacteroidota; Flavobacteriia; Flavobacteriales; Weeksellaceae
Description: Chryseobacterium frigidisoli Flavo-1 RNA
Source: RNAcentral
AUUGCGCCCCGAGCUGAGUGGAGCUCUUUUUAUAUGAACGAAGUGAAAUGUAAAAAAGCGGGAACGGAGCGCGGAAAUGUGC